Molecule: ribosomal RNA, 467 nt
Filed under: uncultured bacterium
Lineage: Bacteria
Description: partial 16S ribosomal RNA
Rfam family: Bacterial small subunit ribosomal RNA
Source: RNAcentral
GACGAACGCUGGCGGCGCGCCUAACACAUGCAAGUCGAACGGAGUCAAGAGGAGCUUGCUUUUCUUGACUUAGUGGCGAACGGGUGAGUAACGCGUGAGUAACCUGCCCUGGAGUGGGGGACAACAGUUGGAAACGACUGCUAAUACCGCAUAAGCCCACGGAUCUGCAUGGAUCUGCGGGAAAAGGAUUUAUUCGCUCUAGGAUGGACUCGCGUCCAAUUAGCUAGUUGGUGAGGUAACGGCCCACCAAGGCGACGAUUGGUAGCCGGACUGAGAGGUUGAACGGCCACAUUGGGACUGAGACACGGCCCAGACUCCUACGGGAGGCAGCAGUGGGGAUAUUGCACAAUGGGGGAAACCCUGAUGCAGCGACGCCGCGUGGAGGAAGAAGGUUUUCGGAUUGUAAACUCCUGUCGUUAGGGACGAUAAUGACGGUACCUAACAAGAAAGCACCAGCUAACUACGUG